This is a non-coding RNA of Blepharisma stoltei, 72 nucleotides long. The record is from the annotation of a GenBank genome assembly. Lineage: Eukaryota; Ciliophora; Heterotrichea; Heterotrichida; Blepharismidae.
GGCUCCAUGGUGUAAGGGUUAGCACGUGAGCCUACGGAGCUUAUAGUCGGGGUUCAAUUCCCUGUGGAGUCG